CUGCAGCUCAAGUGGUGGCCGCUAUUAUUGGGCCUAAAACGUCCGUAGCCGGUUUAGUAAAUGCCUGGGUAAAUCGUGUAGCUUAACUAUACGACUUCCGGGUAGACUGCUAGACUUGGGACCGGGAGAGGCUAGAGGUACUCCUGGGGUAGAGGUGAAAUUCUGUAAUCCUAGGGGGACCACCAGUGGCGAAGGCGUCUAGCUAGAACGGGUCUGACGGUGAGGGACGAAGCCCUGGGGCACAAACCGGAUUAGAUACCCGUGUAGUCC
Molecule: ribosomal RNA, 270 nt
Filed under: uncultured archaeon
Lineage: Archaea
Description: partial 16S ribosomal RNA
Rfam family: Archaeal small subunit ribosomal RNA
Source: RNAcentral